CUACGUGCCAGCAGCCGCGGUAAUACGGAAGGUCCGGGCGUUAUCCGGAUUUAUUGGGUUUAAAGGGAGCGUAGGCCGGGGAUUAAGUGUGUUGUGAAAUGUAGGCGCCCAACGUCUGACUUGCAGCGCAUACUGGUUCCCUUGAGUACGCGCAACGCCGGCGGAAUUCGUCGUGUAGCGGUGAAAUGCUUAGAUAUGACGAAGAACCCCGAUUGCGAAGGCAGCCGGCGGGAGCGCAACUGACGCUGAAGCUCGAAGGUGCGGGUAUCGAACAGGAUUAGAUACCCUGGUAGUCCGCACGGUAAACGAUGGAUGCCCGCUGUCGGCGCCUUGCGCCGGCGGCCAAGCGAAAGCGUUAAGCAUCCCACCUGGGGAGUACGCCGGCAACGGUGAAACUCAAAGGAAUUGACGGGGGCCCGCACAAGCGGAGGAACAUGUGGUUUAAUUCGAAGCAACGCGAAGAACCUUACCAGGUCUUGACAUCCCGAUGCUAUUUCUAGAGAUAGAAAGUUA
This 513-nucleotide ribosomal RNA is filed under the name uncultured bacterium. Its description in RNAcentral is "bacterial SSU rRNA". It matches the Rfam family "Bacterial small subunit ribosomal RNA", at positions 501 to 1016 of the family's 1533-position model. The record is from RNAcentral.